AACGCUCUGUAGUAAAAAUUAUUAAUGAAACAUCAAGUCAAAGAAAAGCCCUCAGAUACUGCUUCGUAACUGUUGUUGUCCUCAGUGUUUCCCUUGCUUUAUCGUAACAUUCAAUAAUGUUGUUUCAGUGCAUCACAAAUUGUGAAUUUAUCUAACAUACAUUUAUUAAGGGACACAUCAUGUCUAAGUCAACUGGUAUCGUAAAGUGGUUUAACGAAGAGAAAGGUUUUGGUUUCAUUUGUCAAGACAACGGCGGCGCUGACGUAUUCGUUCACUUCCGUGCAAUCGCUUCUGAAGGCUUCAAAACUCUAGCUGAAGGCCAGAAAGUAUCUUUCGACAUCGAAGAUGGUCAGAAAGGUCCUCAGGCUGCUAACGUAGUUAAGCUAUAAUUUUAUUAUAGUGCUCAGCGUCUAUCUUCUAGGUAGGUGCUAAAAGAAAGGCCAAGUUUAUCAAUAGCUUGGCCUUUUUU
Molecule: small RNA, 469 nt
Filed under: Photobacterium aphoticum
Lineage: Bacteria; Pseudomonadati; Pseudomonadota; Gammaproteobacteria; Vibrionales; Vibrionaceae
Description: Photobacterium sp. CECT 7614 cspA thermoregulator
Rfam family: cspA thermoregulator
Source: Rfam by way of RNAcentral